Molecule: transfer RNA, 73 nt
Filed under: Cricetulus griseus (Chinese hamster)
Lineage: Eukaryota; Metazoa; Chordata; Mammalia; Rodentia; Cricetidae
Rfam family: tRNA
About the family: Transfer RNA (tRNA) molecules are approximately 80 nucleotides in length. Their secondary structure includes four short double-helical elements and three loops (D, anti-codon, and T loops).
Source: Rfam by way of RNAcentral
UGGGGUGUGACUCAGUCGGCAGAGUGCUUGCUUCACAAGUCCAAAACCCUAGGUCCAAUCCCCAGCACCUCAU